GGUGCUGCAUGGCUGUCGUCAGCUCGUGUCGUGAGAUGUUGGGUUAAGUCCCGCAACGAGCGCAACCCUUAUCUCUAGUUGCCAUCGGGUCAAGCCGGGCACUCUAGCGAAACCGCGUAGGAUAACUACGAGGAAGGUGGGGAUGACGUCAAGUCCUCAUGGCCUUUAUGUCCAGGGCUACACACGUGCUACAAUGCGCGGUACAAAACGUCGCAAACCCGUGAGGGGGAGCUAAUCGGAAAAAGCCGCGCUCAGUUCGGAUUGGAGUCUGCAAUUCGACUCCAUGAAGCUGGAAUCGCUAGUAAUCGCAGAUCAGAACGCUGCGGUGAAUACGUUCCCGGGCCUUGUACACACCGCCCGUCACAUCACGAAAGUGGACUGCACUAGAAGUCGGCGUGCUAACCGCAAGGAGGCAGCCGCCCAAGGUAUGG
RNAcentral lists this ribosomal RNA (431 nucleotides) under uncultured Acidobacteriota bacterium. RNAcentral describes it as "bacterial SSU rRNA". It matches the Rfam family "Bacterial small subunit ribosomal RNA", at positions 1037 to 1467 of the family's 1533-position model. The record is from RNAcentral. Lineage: Bacteria; Pseudomonadati; Acidobacteriota.